RNAcentral lists this ribosomal RNA (553 nucleotides) under uncultured Geobacteraceae bacterium. Its description in RNAcentral is "bacterial SSU rRNA". It matches the Rfam family "Bacterial small subunit ribosomal RNA", at positions 1 to 526 of the family's 1533-position model. Lineage: Bacteria; Pseudomonadati; Thermodesulfobacteriota; Desulfuromonadia; Geobacterales; Geobacteraceae. The record is from RNAcentral.
WGARKKCGCCCUUAGAGUUUGAUCCUGGCUCAGAACGAACGCUGGCGGCGUGCUUAACACAUGCAAGUCGAACGUGAUCCAGAGCUUGCUCUGGUGAAAGUGGCGCACGGGUGAGUAACGCGUGGAUAACCUGCCCUGGUAUCUGGGAUAACAUCUCGAAAGGGGUGCUAAUACCGGAUAAGCCUCCGGGAUCUUCGGAUUCUGCAGGAAAAGAAGGCCUCUAUUUAUAAGCUUUCGUAUCAGGAUGGGUCCGCGUACCAUUAGCUAGUUGGUGGGGUAAUGGCCUACCAAGGCGACGAUGGUUAGCUGGUCUGAGAGGAUGAUCAGCCACACUGGAACUGAGACACGGUCCAGACUCCUACGGGAGGCAGCAGUGGAGAAUUUUGCGCAAUGGGGGAAACCCUGACGCAGCAACGCCGCGUGAGUGAUGAAGGCUUUCGGGUCGUAAAGCUCUGUCAGAGGGGAAGAAAUGGGUCGUGCUAAUAUCACGGCUUCUUGACGGUACCCUCAAAGGAAGCACCGGCUAACUCCGUGCCAGCAGCCGCGGUAAUAC